GUCCACGCCGUAAAACGAUGGGUACUAGGUGCCUGGGGGAGCGACCCCUUGGGUGCCGGCGCUAACGCAGGAAGUACCCCGCCUGGGGAGUACGGCCGCAAGGCUGAAACUCAAAGGAAUUGACGGGGCCCGCACAAGCGGUGGAGCAUGUGGUUUAAUUCGACGCAACGCGAAGAACCUUACCUAGGCUUGACAUGCAUGGGAAACUCCUCAGAAACGAGGAGCCUCCUUCGGGAUCCAUGCACAGGUGCUGCAUGGCUGUCGU
RNAcentral lists this ribosomal RNA (265 nucleotides) under uncultured bacterium. Its description in RNAcentral is "partial 16S ribosomal RNA". It matches the Rfam family "Bacterial small subunit ribosomal RNA", at positions 793 to 1055 of the family's 1533-position model. The record is from RNAcentral.